Molecule: unclassified non-coding RNA, 432 nt
Filed under: soil metagenome
Description: partial contains 5.8S ribosomal RNA, internal transcribed spacer 2, and large subunit ribosomal RNA
Rfam family: 5.8S ribosomal RNA (bases 1-120)
Source: RNAcentral
GAUGAAGAACGUAGCGAAAUGCGAUACGUAAUGUGAAUUGCAGAAUUCAGUGAAUCAUCGAAUCUUUGAACGCAUAUUGCGCUCUCUGGUAUUCCGGAGAGCAUGCUUGUUUGAGUAUCAGUAAACACCUCAACUUCCAUAUCUUUUUUGAAAUGGGAGUUGGACUUGAGUGAUCCCAACGCUUUUCCUCACCGAAAAGUGGCGGGUUACUUGAAAUGCAGGUGCAGCUGGACUUUUCUCUGAGCUAUAAGCAUAUCUAUUUAGUCUGCCUAAAAAACAGAUUAUUACCUUUGCUGCAGCUAACAUAAAGGAGAUUAGUUCUUGUGCUGACUGAUGCAGGAUUCACAAAGACGGCUUCGGCCGACUUUGUAAACUCGAUCUCAAAUCAAGUAAGACUACCCGCUGAACUUAAGCAUAUCAAUAAACGGAGGA